Molecule: ribosomal RNA, 506 nt
Filed under: uncultured bacterium
Lineage: Bacteria
Description: bacterial SSU rRNA
Rfam family: Bacterial small subunit ribosomal RNA
Source: RNAcentral
UAGAGUCUUCCCCUUCGGGGGACAAAGUGACAGGUGGUGCAUGGUUGUCGUCAGCCCGUGUCGUGAGAUGUUGGGUUAAGUCCCGCAACGAGCGCAACCCUUAAGCUUAGUUGCCAGCAUUAAGUUGGGCACUCUAAGUUGACUGCCGGUGACAAACCGGAGGAAGGUGGGGAUGACGUCAAAUCAUCAUGCCCCUUAUGAUUUGGGCUACACACGUGCUACAAUGGACAAUACAAAGGGCAGCUAAACCGCGAGGUCAUGCAAAUCCCAUAAAGUUGUUCUCAGUUCGGAUUGUAGUCCGCAACUCGACUACAUGAAGCUGGAAUCGCUAGUAAUCGUAGAUCAGCAUGCUACGGUGAAUACGUUCCCGGGUCUUGUACACACCGCCCGUCACACCACGAGAGUCUGUAACACCCGAAGCCGGUGGAGUAACCAUUUAUGGAGCUAGCCGUCGAAGGUGGGACAAAUGAUUGGGGUGAAGUCGUAACAAGGUAGCCGUAUCGGAA